GACGAACGCUGGCGGGGUGCUUAACACAUGCAAGUCGAACGGAAAGGCCCUGCUUUUGUGGGGUGCUCGAGUGGCGAACGGGUGAGUAACACGUGAGUAACCUGCCCUUGACUUUGGGAUAACUUCAGGAAACUGGGGCUAAUACCGGAUAGGAGCUCCUGCUGCAUGGUGGGGGUUGGAAAGUUUCGGCGGUUGGGGAUGGACUCGCGGCUUAUCAGCUUGUUGGUGGGGUAGUGGCUUACCAAGGCUUUGACGGGUAGCCGGCCUGAGAGGGUGACCGGCCACAUUGGGACUGAGAUACGGCCCAGACUCCUACGGGAGGCAGCAGUGGGGAAUAUUGCACAAUGGGCGGAAGCCUGAUGCAGCAACGCCGCGUGCGGGAUGACGGCCUUCGGGUUGUAAACCGCUUUCGCCUGUGACGAAGCGUGAGUGACGGUAAUGGGUAAAGAAGCACCGGCUAACUACGUGCCAGCAGCCGCGGUGAUACGUAGGGUGCGAGCGUUGUCCGGAUUUAUUGGGCGUAAAGGGCUCGUAGGUGGUUGAUCGCGUCGGAAGUGUAAUCUUGGGGCUUAACCCUGAGCGUGCUUUCGAUACGGGUUGACUUGAGGAAGGUAGGGGAGAAUGGAAUUCCUGGUGGAGCGGUGGAAUGCGCAGAUAUCAGGAGGAACACCAGUGGCGAAGGCGGCUCUCUGGGCCUUUCCUGACGCUGAGGAGCGAAAGCGUGGGGAGCGAACAGGCUUAGAUACCCUGGUAGUCCACGCUGUAAACGGUGGGUACUAGGUGUGGGGUCCAUUCCACGGGUUCCGUGCCGUAGCUAACGCUUUAAGUACCCCGCCUGGGGAGUACGGCCGCAAGGCUAAAACUCAAAGGAAUUGACGGGGCCCCGCACAAGCGGCGGAGCAUGCGGAUUAAUUCGAUGCAACGCGUAGAACCUUACCUGGGUUUGACAUGGAUCGGGAGUGCUCAGAGAUGGGUGUGCCUCUUUUGGGGUCGGUUCACAGGUGGUGCAUGGCUGUCGUCAGCUCGUGUCGUGAGAUGUUGGGUUAAGUCCCGCAACGAGCGCAACCCUUGUUCACUGUUGCCAGCACGUUAUGGUGGGGACUCAGUGGAGACCGCCGGGGUCAACUCGGAGGAAGGUGGGGAUGACGUCAAGUCAUCAUGCCCCUUAUGUCCAGGGCUUCACGCAUGCUACAAUGGCUGGUACAGAGAGUGGCGAGCCUGUGAGGGUGAGCGAAUCUCGGAAAGUCGGUCUCAGUUCGGAUUGGGGUCUGCAACUCGACCUCAUGAAGUCGGAGUCGCUAGUAAUCGCAGAUCAGCAACGCUGCGGUGAAUACGUUCCCGGGGCU
Molecule: ribosomal RNA, 1346 nt
Filed under: uncultured bacterium
Lineage: Bacteria
Description: partial 16S ribosomal RNA
Rfam family: Bacterial small subunit ribosomal RNA
Source: RNAcentral